UACGUAGGUGGCAAGCGUUGUCCGGAUUUAUUGGGUUUAAAGGGUGCGCAGGCGGGAGAUUAAGUCGGCGGUGAAAUUUUGCAGCUCAACUGUAAAAGUGCCUUCGAAACUGGUUUCCUUGAGUGUAGAUGAAGUAGGCGGAAUUUGUGGUGUAGCGGUGAAAUGCAUAGAUAUCACGAGGAACUCCGAUUGCGCAGGCAGCUUACUAAACUACUACUGACGCUCAGGCACGAAGGCGUGGGGAUCAAACAGGAUUAGAUACCCCGGUAGU
This 271-nucleotide ribosomal RNA is filed under the name uncultured prokaryote. Its description in RNAcentral is "partial 16S ribosomal RNA". It matches the Rfam family "Bacterial small subunit ribosomal RNA", at positions 524 to 794 of the family's 1533-position model. The record is from RNAcentral.